This 468-nucleotide ribosomal RNA is filed under the name uncultured bacterium. RNAcentral describes it as "partial 16S ribosomal RNA". It matches the Rfam family "Bacterial small subunit ribosomal RNA", at positions 28 to 507 of the family's 1533-position model. The record is from RNAcentral.
GACGAACGCUGGCGGCGUGCUUAACACAUGCAAGUCGAACGGAAAGGCCCUGCUUUUGUGGGGUGCUCGAGUGGCGAACGGGUGAGUAACACGUGGGUAACCUGCCCUUGACUUUGGGAUAACUUCAGGAAACUGGGGCUAAUACCGGAUAGGAGCUCCUGCUGCAUGGUGGGGGUUGGAAAGUUUCGGCGGUUGGGGAUGGACUCGCGGCUUAUCAGCUUGUUGGUGGGGUAGUGGCUUACCAAGGCUUUGACGGGUAGCCGGCCUGAGAGGGUGACCGGCCACAUUGGGACUGAGAUACGGCCCAGACUCCUACGGGAGGUAGCAGUGGGGAAUAUUGCACAAUGGGCGGAAGCCUGAUGCAGCAACGCCGCGUGCGGGAUGACGGCCUUCGGGUUGUAAACCGCUUUCGCCUGUGACGAAGCGUGAGUGACGGUAAUGGGUAAAGAAGCACCGGCUAACUACGUG